GGCGCCGUAGCUCAGUUGGUUAGAGCGCGGCUCUCAUGAGGCCGAGGUCGGGAGUUCAAUUCUCCCCGGCGCCA
RNAcentral lists this transfer RNA (74 nucleotides) under Candidatus Pacearchaeota archaeon. RNAcentral's name for it is "tRNA-Met". It matches the Rfam family "tRNA". Rfam says of the family: Transfer RNA (tRNA) molecules are approximately 80 nucleotides in length. Their secondary structure includes four short double-helical elements and three loops (D, anti-codon, and T loops). Further hydrogen bonds mediate the characteristic L-shaped molecular structure. tRNAs have two regions of fundamental functional importance: the anti-codon, which is responsible for specific mRNA codon recognition, and the 3' end, to which the tRNAs corresponding amino acid is attached (by aminoacyl-tRNA synthetases). tRNAs cope with the degeneracy of the genetic code in two manners: having more than one tRNA (with a specific anti-codon) for a particular amino acid; and 'wobble' base-pairing, i.e. permitting non-standard base-pairing at the 3rd anti-codon position. Lineage: Archaea; Nanobdellati. The record is from RNAcentral.